RNAcentral lists this ribosomal RNA (440 nucleotides) under uncultured bacterium. Its description in RNAcentral is "partial 16S ribosomal RNA". It matches the Rfam family "Bacterial small subunit ribosomal RNA", at positions 338 to 795 of the family's 1533-position model. The record is from RNAcentral.
CCUACGGGAGGCAGCAGUGGGGAAUAUUGCACAAUGGGGGAAACCCUGAUGCAGCGACGCCGCGUGGGUGAGGAAGGAUUUCGGUAUGUAAAGCUCUUUCAGUAGGGAAGAAAAUGACGGUACCUGACUAAGAAGCCCCGGCUAACUACGUGCCAGCAGCCGCGGUAAUACGUAGGGGGCAAGCGUUAUCCGGAUUUACUGGGUGUAAAGGGAGCGUAGGCGGAAUAGCAAGUCUGAUGUGAAAGUCCGGGGCGCAACCCGCGAACUGCAUUGGAAACUGUAAUUCGAGAGUGUGGGAGAGGGAAGUGGAAUUCCUGGUGUAGCGGUGAAAUGCGUAGAUAUCAGGAGGAACACCCGUGGCGAAGGCGGGUUGCUGGACGAUGACUGACGUUGAGGCUCGAAAGCGUGGGGAGCAAACAGGAUUAGAUACCCUAGUAGUC